CGCCCACUCUACGACCGCCGCCGCCCCUGGUGCCGGCGCACCUCUCGCCGCCGGCCACCCCAGCCCCAUCGCCGCCCCCGACCCCGACGCGCCUCCCGCCGCCAGCCGCCCCAACACCCAUGUUUCCCAUCGGCCCACCCCACAGGCCGCCGCCCUCCUCCAAUCGCGCCGUCGACUACCCCCUCCUCCAAUCACGUCGUCGGCCGCCCCCACCUCCAAUUGCGCCGCCGCUGGCCCCUACCACCACCGGUGCUGCGGCCAGGCCCAAUCUUCAAAACCACGCCGCCGUCGAGGCCCGACUUCCAAACGCGUCACCGCUGGGCCCCUACCUCCACUCAUGCCGCCGCCGGGCCCUGACAAGCGGCCCUCCGGCUAACCACCGCUUCCCCUCCCGCCGCACGCGCCCUCCGGCCAACUACAGCCUCCCCACCCCGCCUCGCUCGUCUCCCGGCCAACCAUCGCCUCCCCAUCCCUCUGACCUCGACCUGCAGCUGGUGGUGGUCUCGACCUGCAGCAUGGGGCGGUCUCGACCUGUAGCUGGUCCGUGCUGAUAGGGAUCAUCUUCUCUUGCAGAGAUCCAUCGACGUUCCUUACUGAUGGCUGCCCGAGCUAUGAGAAUAAUCGGCCUCGGCCGCUCACCAACACGCCCACCUGCAGUUCAGGUAUUGCCUGGCCAAUGCUAAUCGCGGCCACUGCCCUUACAAGCUGUCUCUCAUCUAGAGCUUGUCAGUACAACGGUUGUCCCAUGCAUUACUCGCUUAAAAAUUUAUUCAUGGAUGCCACCAAGAACCCACGCCUUUGCUCUCUCUCUCAAUUUGGUUAAACAUAUAGCAAUAUUCUUGUGUACUAAUUGACUUUAUGGCCAAGUUUUCUCUGUACGUGAUGCUACUAAUCUAAUAUUGGAAAAGAUUUCCCAUGAGAUGAGUGUGUAUCAGGGUUGAAAAUUUUAUUUUAAGAUCCUCUUGUGGUCUUUGAGGACUCAAAUCAUGUAUUCUGUACACAUGAGUGAAUUUCAGUUUGCCGGAGAAGAGACAUUUCCAUGGCCGAUGUUGGCUGUUCGUGCAUGGACGUGCCUGUAUUCCAUUUGAAAACCUGGGAGCAUGCCCAAAAAGUUUAGAAAUAUCAAUGGUAAAAGUUAGAAUAUUUGGAGGUUGAUGCUUCGUGUGUAUAUACAUGGGUGCACAUUUUCUUUUUCAUGAUAUCUAGUUCAACAAUGCCGUAAAUUCCUCUGGAAUUUGUUCCAUUUAGCAAUUUGUGUUAUGAUGAUUCAGUACUUGUUGUUUACAAAAAAUGCCCUUUUUUGCAGCAAAAUGUUUGUGAAAAAAAUGUAGUGAAAAAUUGUGCUCUCAUGAGUGUUUGAUAUGUUCACAAAAAGUGUUUUGAUGAAUUGGUUUAUUUGAAGUUCAAAUUGAUUUGUUGAAGAAGGUCGACUCUAUCCUGGACAGCACACAACCUCCUCCCAGUGGGGCCCAUCACGCGCAGGUCGUUCGUCGCUGCCACCUCCGGCCGUUCAACUACGUAGCGCUAAGACGUUCACCGCCAUCAGAAACAGCGACGAGCACGAAGACACCCUCUCAUGCUCAGUGCUCUGUCCGGCAUAACACAAGAAGUUCAUGUAAAACAGCUGCGAACAUUCAAGUAAAUCAAAGAAUAUACUCAUGUGUGCAUAUAGAUGAGUUCUCACCUACCCAUUUUGCUCUCGAUGGUGCUGCUGUAGUUCAGCUUGAGUGUGUUGAGAGAGAUUAGCUGAUGUUGUUGUCCUUGUUUUUUCUGAGAGAGAUUAGCUCGCCCCUCCUCCAUCGAUGGCCUACACUGGCCGCUAGAAUCCAUCCAGGUGCUGGCCGUCAUCCUCUAUCUUCAAUUACGGGUCAGCAACAGCGUUGCGAAUAGAAAGGGCCCGGUGAAGUUCAAUUUGUUUUGCUUUUUGAAGUUCUGUUUGUUGAUUUUCUGAAGUUUGGAUUGUUAAUUUUUUGAAGAGAAAGGUUGCUUCACUUGCACUCCUCUAUCUAGUCCUGUGUGGUGAUAUCCUCGACUCCUCCUCGGUUCGGAGCUAGCAACGGUUCUUCAACUUCCCUGCUGUGUUGUCGCGAUUGUUGCAGAGACAAAUUUUAUACUUUGUUCAUCUAUGGUGCCAAGUUGAGCGGACACCGUAGCACUCGAGAAGAUGGGGAGAGGAUGUGUGGUGAAGAGAAAACAUAGGGUUUCAAAUUGUCCAUUGGUGGUUGCAUCUAAUCAUUUUACCAAAGUGUAACGGACAUGUGUAUGUAUGUACAGUAGCAUAUUUUACUUGAACCGAGUUAUUUUUUUUAAUGCACGAAGUUUGUGCAGCCAAAAAACAUGUAUUAAACUGGUUUUUGUGUAUUUUUCUAACCUUUUCUACACCUUUCUACGAGA
Long non-coding RNA from Triticum aestivum (bread wheat), 2394 nucleotides. RefSeq lists it as uncharacterized. The record is from RefSeq and is a predicted model, not a curated record. NCBI's taxonomy places the organism in Eukaryota, Viridiplantae, Streptophyta, Magnoliopsida, Poales, Poaceae. The transcript is spliced from 3 exons.